GAUGAACGCUGGCGGCGUGCCUAAUACAUACAAGUCGAGCGAACAGAUGAGGAGCUUGCUCCUCUGACGUUAGCGGCGGACGGGUGAGUAACACGUGGAUAACCUACCUAUAAGACUGGGAUAACUUCGGGAAACCGGAGCUAAUACCGGAUAAUAUAUUGAACCGCAUGGUUCAGUAUUGAAAGACGUUUUUUCUGUCACUUAUAGAUGGAUCCGCGCCGCAUUAGCUAGUUGGUAAGGUAACGGCUUACCAAGGCAACGAUGCGUAGCCGACCUGAGAGGGUGAUCGGCCACACUGGAACUGAGACACGGUCCAGACUCCUACGGGAGGCAGCAGUAGGGAAUCUUCCGAAAUGGGCGAAAGCCUGACGGAGCAACGCCGCGUGAGUGAUGAAGGUCUUCGGAUCGUAAAACUCUGUUAUUAGGGAAGAACAAAUGUGUAAGUAACUAUGCACGUCUUGACGGUACCUAAUCAGAAAGCCACGGCUAACUACGUG
RNAcentral lists this ribosomal RNA (497 nucleotides) under uncultured bacterium. RNAcentral describes it as "partial 16S ribosomal RNA". It matches the Rfam family "Bacterial small subunit ribosomal RNA", at positions 28 to 507 of the family's 1533-position model. The record is from RNAcentral.